UGGCCCCAAGUUGGGUUUCCUGCGCGUUCCGCUCCGUACCGUGACGGUUUUUGGCCCAAGUGUCCGACCUUUUUUUUUUGUUGGUCUAUGUAAACUUUAAGGAUCAAGAAGAAGAACUUUGCGGAAGAACUGGGCAGUUCUGGGAAAAGAUCUCGGAGUGUUUCGGGUUCGGGUGUAAACGGUGUCGCGAAGGACACGAAAAAGAAGAACCUCUGAAACUUUCAAGGAUCGUGGGUUUUUCCUGCUCGGCGAAACGGACGGAAAGUGGUGUUCUCCACUUUGACGUGAUUUGUUUAAGGAUCGUUCAUUUCCCUACCGUCGUCGGUGGGAGGCUGUGGUUACAACACCAAAGAAGCGCCACUGAGGAAAAUUCUGUGCGUUGCACGGCGAAGACGACGUCAACACUCGUAGAUCCGAUUAGCAGGGUCCUGGUAGCAGCAAUAUGUGUGCCACGGUCAGCCCAGCAGAGGCUGGUUCGGUCCCACGGUGGUCUUGGCCACGGCAAGGUUCCACGGUGAAGAAGGCGCCACCUUGCGAAUACUAGGAAGAGGGAAAACAGGAAGACGAAGAAACGCGGACGCACACACACACCCACAGAGCAAUCUUGUUUUCCGAGCAUCAAAAGUGUAGCUUUAAAGCAGCCCUAGAAGGGGAUAAGAAGCGGAAUAAAGGCUAGAGGAGGGAGCCUUUCAGUGUUUGUGAUACGCGUUUGCUCUAGCGGAAGAAGCGCGCCGAAGAAAAUCGUGAAAAACAACAUUGUGCGGCUUCUCGACUUCCACUCAUCUCUGUGAGUGUGGGCACGAGUGUGUGUGUGUUUGUGUGAAUUAGUGUGUCAGCUGUAGUGGUGGCGAGAAAGUGUGCUAGAGGUUAGCCAGCGCGCCAAGAGAAUAUCAUAAAAUCAAUAAAACAAUCAUAAAAGUGAGGCUACACAUGGCGGUGUAGGUGGCGCUCCAAGGAACACUAGAAGGAUUUCAUGUUUUUUCGCCGUUCUCGCCGAGGUGACCGCAGAGCCCGACUACGACACAGCUCAGCCCAGCAACAUUAGGGCCCUUAAGCAGACUAGAGAGGGUGGCUUUUGUUUUGAUUGGCCACCUCCCCCCACUGCCCCCCCAAAAUGAGGUGAUUUGGUGGAGAAAGGCAAAAACAAAUACGCACACACAGUCAGAAAUACCCACACAUCCCCAUUAACCUAUUGGGGCAAGUAAUGGCCCGAGGGUGGUAGAAUCGUGACGCCCUCCACCGGAAGUCAAUCAUACACUGCCGGGAGGAAACAAGGACUAACGCAAUCACUCAAUAAAAAAAAAAACAACAGCAACAAUAACGAGUUCGAUUAAGUUAGUCAUCGCCUUCGAGGAGGGAUCCCAACCCCCCCAGUUCGAACGUUUCACAAUCGAAUUAAAACACGGCUUGCCUGCUGCAAGGAAUCGCGCUCUAAACCCCCGCUAAACGUUCAGGAUGUAGACGAAUCGAACGGCGGUUGAAGCGCUCAAGUGGCCCCCACAGCUUGCAGCUCACAAGAGGGGACCAGAUAGUCGACCAGCCCAGCCCAGUCCCGCGUGGUGUGUUUUGUAAUAAAAUCAAACGUUAAUUGCACACUAAUUAGGUUUGCCGGAGGCAGUGUUACCACAUGCUCGUCUGUAUCAGAGGGUCCAAAAAUCUGUCUUAUCUGCACCAAGCAUGGCGAAUAUCUGUACCAUUAUCUGUACGGUAUAUUUUUUGUAAAUAACAUUUUUUAUUAUGCAUUUUGAACAAUCUUAUGACAACAUUAUGCAGCUCGGAAGGAACGCAAAACUGCAUAUAAAAAACACACAAGAAACGACCAAGGAAAGACGUUUCUUCGCGUGACGUUCCUUCGCGCGAUGUUUGUUUGCAAAAGUUCUAGUGAAAAAACUUAAAUAUUCAGAAUUUGUUUAUUUUAUUGCAACUGAAAGUCAUAAAUGUAUCAAUAAUUUUGUAA
Molecule: long non-coding RNA, 1957 nt
Organism: Culex quinquefasciatus (southern house mosquito)
Lineage: Eukaryota; Metazoa; Arthropoda; Insecta; Diptera; Culicidae
Exons: 3
Source: RefSeq, a predicted model, not a curated record